RNAcentral lists this non-coding RNA (948 nucleotides) under Cottus amblystomopsis (Sakhalin sculpin). RNAcentral describes it as "12S ribosomal RNA". It matches the Rfam family "Bacterial small subunit ribosomal RNA". Lineage: Eukaryota; Metazoa; Chordata; Actinopteri; Perciformes; Cottidae. The record is from RNAcentral.
CAAAGGCUUGGUCCUGACUUUAUUAUCAACUUUAGCUGAACUUACACAUGCAAGUAUCCGCACUCCUGUGAGAAUGCCCUAACAGUUCCCUGCCCGGGAACAAGGAGCAGGUAUCAGGCACACUCCUACUGAGCCCACGACACCUUGCUUAGCCACACCCUCAAGGGAACUCAGCAGUGAUAAACAUUAAGCCAUAAGUGAAAACUUGACUUAGUUAAAGCUAAGAGGGCCGGUAAAACUCGUGCCAGCCACCGCGGUUAUACGAGAGGCCCAAGUUGACGAACACCGGCGUAAAGCGUGGUUAAGCUAAAAAAUUAUACUAAAGCCAAACACCUUCAAGACUGUUAUACGUAACCGAGGGCAGGAAGUACAACCACGAAAGUCGCUUUAUCAGAUCUGAACCCACGAAAGCUAAGGAACAAACUGGGAUUAGAUACCCCACUAUGCCUAGCCCUAAACAUUAAUAGUAUUAUACACCCACUAUCCGCCCGGGUACUACGAGCAAUAGCUUAAAACCCAAAGGACUUGGCGGUGCUUUAGACCCACCUAGAGGAGCCUGUUCUAGAACCGAUAACCCCCGUUCAACCUCACCCUUCCUUGUUUUACCCGCCUAUAUACCGCCGUCGUCAGCUUACCCUGUGAGGGACAAAUAGUAAGCAGAACUGGUACAACCUAAAACGUCAGGUCGAGGUGUAGCGUAUGGAGGGGGAAGAAAUGGGCUACAUUCGCUACCACAGCGAACACGAACGAUGCACUGAAACACACAUCUGAAGGAGGAUUUAGCAGUAAGCUGGAAAUAGAGCGUCCCGCUGAAACUGGCCCUGAAGCGCGCACACACCGCCCGUCACUCUCCCCAAAAGCCCCAGUCAGUUAACUAAAACCUAAUAAUCAACAAGGGGAGGCAAGUCGUAACAUGGUAAGUGUACCGGAAGGUGCACUUGGUAAAAU